UGCAGGCAGCGGGCUCCUGAUGAAGCACCUGCCGCAGGUGUGCUGAGCCUCAUGUCUCUGCUGUUUACAUGUGAGCGGUGUGGACAGAGACAGGGACAGGGACAGACUGUGAGAGGCAGCGCAUCCUCAGGGUUCUUCCUCAGGGUUCAUACUCAGGGUUCUUCCUCAGGGUUCACACAUGUUCCUGCUCAAGAUGAAGGUGCCCGCGGAGGAACUAAUGAGCGACAUAUUGAAGCGUCUGACGGGCGAGUCCGCGCUGCCUGUGUACAGCAACAUAGAGAAGUUCAGGCGAGCUAAAGACGGCCUGUACUUUGUCGCGGAGGACUUCAACGAAACGGUGAAAAAGAGGGAGCUGGUCAACGCCAAGGAGCGACUGAGAAUUCGCAACUUGAACACCAUGUUCUCCCGCCUGAAGCGGAUGGUGCCACUUAUGCGACCAGACCGGAAACCCAGUAAAGUGGACACACUCAAAGCUGCAACAGAGUACAUUCGAUUGCUUGUUGGAGUUUUGCAAGACACUGACAGUCAUGAUGGCAGUGGGACUGAUUUUCUAAAGAACGCAAUCACUUACGGUCAGACUGAAGGUUUGAGCAAUGACCUAUGGAGAAUGGAUGAUGCCGUCUCAAACUCCAUCAGGUUGGAUGGAGAGCGUUGGUGCACAGCCGUUUUCAGAUCUCUCCAGAGAUGUUCAAUCGGGUUCAAGUCUGGGCUCUGGCUGGGCAACUCAAGGACAUUCACAGAGUUGUCCCGAAUCCACUCCUUUGUUAUCUUGGCUGUGUGCCUAAGGUCUUUGUCCUGUUGGAGGUCCAGAGCGCUCUGGAGCAGGUUUUCAUCAAGGAUGUCUCUUUACAUUGCUGCAUUCAUCUUUCCCUCGAUCAUGACAAGUCUCCCAGCUCCUGCCGCUGAAAAAAUCACUGUUGAACAUGUCAGACGAGUGUAUGGAAGAUGGAUUCACUCUGCCUCAAGAACAAGUAACAGAGGAUGGCGAUAUGACCAGACUGGUGUUGCAACAUUGUGCGCUGCCUGCAUACCAGUUCAUCAUCCAAGUAGCACCUGACCAGUCUUCGAUGUCUCAACACUGCUGAAUGAUGUGAAGAGCAGAUGGCCAGACCUAAUACUGGGAACAUGCCAGGGGCUGUAGUUACCUGCGUUCAUUUGAAAAAACAUCUGUUGCGGAGUUUUGCAUGCAACUGUAUGUAUAAUACUUUUUUGUUUGUUUUUGAGGGCAAUAUUUAGUGCAUAUAUUUCACAUUCAUAAUUUGGAAACAAAAUGGUGAAUUAUGAUGGGCUAUGUAAUAAGUGGGAUUCUGAUAUUUGCCUUAAAACCUGUCAUCCCUCUUCAGAUAAAGUACAUUUUAAUGCAUGUAGAAACUGUGUCAAAAGAAGUGAGAGAUGAAUUAACUAUAAUCUUGUUUAUUUAGGGACCUUUUGCUUUGAAGAAAGGAUGCUUCCAGAAGAAAAUUCAAUUUGAUUUGUUUUAUUUAUAUUGACUUAAGAUUUUGUUUGAGUAUUUAUAUAUAUAAACGUAUGUAUAAAUAUGUUUUUAUUUUCAUUUUACAAACUGUAUACUUGGAAGCCUUUAGAAACAUUUACAAGCUUAAUUUUGUUCUCAUUUAUCUUAAGUAAGUGUUUUAUGUUUUCUGCUUAAAAUGUUUAAAUAUAAAUCUCAACAUCUGCAUUGUACCGAGUUUAUGUUUGAUAAAUAUGAAUAUCUUCAACUUUAAUAAAAUGGCUUUGUAACCUGUA
Pleuronectes platessa (European plaice) is the source of this 1746-nucleotide RNA transcript. It is a transcript of the gene named folliculogenesis specific bHLH transcription factor, with no coding region annotated. Lineage: Eukaryota; Metazoa; Chordata; Actinopteri; Pleuronectiformes; Pleuronectidae. The record is from RefSeq and is a predicted model, not a curated record. The transcript has 7 exons.